RNAcentral lists this ribosomal RNA (448 nucleotides) under uncultured bacterium. Its description in RNAcentral is "partial 16S ribosomal RNA". It matches the Rfam family "Bacterial small subunit ribosomal RNA", at positions 28 to 523 of the family's 1533-position model. The record is from RNAcentral.
GAUGAACGCUGGCGGCGUGCUUAACACAUGCAAGUCGAACGAACCUUCGGGUUAGUGGCGGACGGGUGAGUAACGCGUGAGAAUCUGCCCUCAGGAGGGGGAUAACGGCUGGAAACGGCCGCUAAUACCCCAUAUGCCGCGAGGUGAAAUGAAUUUCGCCUGAGGAUGAGCUCGCGUCUGAUUAGCUAGUUGGUGGGGUAAGGGCCUACCAAGGCAUCGAUCAGUAGCUGGUCUGAGAGGAUGAUCAGCCACACUGGGACUGAGACACGGCCCAGACUCCUACGGGAGGCAGCAGUGGGGAAUUUUCCGCAAUGGGCGCAAGCCUGACGGAGCAACGCCGCGUGAGGGAUGAAGGCCUCUGGGCUGUAAACCUCUUUUAUCAAGGAAGAAGAUCUGACGGUACUUGAUGAAUAAGCCACGGCUAAUUCCGUGCCAGCCGCCGCCGUAA